UGGGCACAAUUAAAGAUGAUCGAAGUCAGGAUUGAGAUCAUCAGUGUAAAGCCAGAAUGGUGCUUGGCAUACAAGGCUCAGUCAGUGUUGGUUGUUACUGUUUCCUGAUUGCAGAGGGCAGGACAGCCUGUGUACUCAGGAGGGGAAGACUUGGAACCAGAAAUCCUGGGCUCGAAUCCUGGUCCUGCCAUGUACAAGCUGGCUUGUAGAGGAGCCAGUUAAAUCUGCAUACGCUCCAUGCCCAAAACCCCUUCAGAGGGGUUCUCUGUUCUGAGUUAUCCACUUUGCACCUUGGGACCCAGGAUACAACUGUUUGGACAGGAGUGGAACCCCGCUUAUGGACAGGUAACAUCUAGGCUGAUCAGAAGACUGUGAGGCAGCUCAGUGUGAGAAAUUCAAGCCACAGGGAUACUGGGGACCAACUGAACACUUCAGAUCCUUCUGCAGAUUUUGAGUAUAAGACAUGGAGAAAGGAUUAGUGUCAGUAUUGGGGCAGAAGCAGAGAGACACACAGAAGGAAAGUUCUAAGUAGAAGCCUUGAGUCAAUAUAAGCGAUGGGUGAAUAGGAGCCAUGAAUUAACAAGAACUGUGAGUCAGCAGAAACUGACAGAGGAGAGUAAGGACAGCAGAGGAAUAGGCCAAGACCCAGAGGUGCUGAGUCACCAUGAUGGCGGAGCCCGAGUGUGCCAGGCUAGGGUGCCCCUGCGGAGGGUCUUCCAAGGGGGUCCCCCCGAUUUACAGAGCUGCUGUUUGCUGUAAACCAAAGCUGUUCCAGCCUCUAGGAGGCUGGCUGGGUGGCUAAGGCUUUGCUUUCCCCCAUCUUGUAAUGAAACCUGAGAAUGUUUCUUUUCCUUACAACCUACAAAAACCUGUCCAACAACACCACCCCUAUCAAAGCUGAGACUGAGUGUCCUCACCUGCAAGAUGGGGACAGCUGCUGCUUUCGGGUUCAGCAUCCCUUCCCUGAGGCAAUGACUUUUAUCUGACACUUUGCAGUUCUGGUCUGCCAGCCCUGGGCCCAGCGUAUUAGGUGGCCACAUAAUCAGGCUGCCUGGACAGUCCAUUGCAGGGGUUUGCCUUUGAUGUAGAGACACCUCUGCGGCAGGGGAUGGAACCCCCGAGAGGGCUCUUGAGUCCCUCCGCCUGGGAUCUUCUGAGCUGUCCUGGUUCCUGUUUUCUAAGUCCUGUUUAUUCAGCUCUUUUGUUCUGGGACUUUCCAAAUUGCCUUCACAGAUUCUCUUUCCUUUUUUUAAGUAACAGCGCUAGCUGGACACACUCCUUGCAGGGUUGUUUUGAAGUGAAAUAAGACAGAGAGCUCCUUCCUACCCGUAGUUGUCCCCUCCCCCUGCCCUCUCCUGCUCUACCUGACUGAACAUCUCUGAACUAGCCCAAUGUUUUCCUCCUUUGACAAAAGAUUCUAAACCUAAACCAGCCCUCGAUUUACUGUGGCCUUUACCAAGUCCUUGCCAAAUGCCCUUUUGUGCUUCAGUUUUCCUUUCUGCGUAACAUAAGAUCUGAGUCAAACAGGGCUCCUCUCUGCAGUAGCUCAGGACUCCCCAUAGGUGGCAGCACAUGACCACAAAUGUCCUGAAAUAUCCCUUGCAGAACUCAAGACCAGCUGGAGAGAGGGCGUGUGUGAUGCUGGCGCAGAGCAUUUACCAGGUCUGGGAGAGAGGAGGAUGCAGGAGGGAGAAGAAAGGAGAGUGGGCGCCCUCUGGCCUUGAAGCAAGAUUAUUGGCUUGAGGUUUGAAGGAUAGGAGUAGUUGGUGCAGCCAGUCCAUCUACCCAUCCUUCCAUCUAUCCAUCCAUGCAACAAAUGUUUCUGAGCACCUGUUCUAGGCUCUGGAGAUGCUGCAGUGAACGAGACAGACACAGGCAGUCCCUGUCCUCACUGAGCUGGCUCCUAACUUAGAACAAUCUUUUUUUUUUUUUCAACCCUGUGGUACACCCCUUUGCCUUCUGGGCUUGUUUCCCCAUCUGUAAAAUGGGAUAAUAAACUGUGUACCUCACAGAUCUAUGGCGGCGAGGCUUAGGUGCUGGCACCCAGUCUGUGCUUCUUCCCUUUCCCUCUGCCCCACCCCCCUUCACAGGAGCUGAAGACGCUGCUGAACCCUGUGGUCAUCGAGUGGGGACUCAGUAUCCUCUCUGUGUCAGAGGGAAGCACCAGCCAGUCCACCCCUUCUGCAAAGUCUGGUCAAGCCUUGAACCUGAAGGAAUCCCCCAGGCUGGGUUAGGUUGGUGUGGCAGACUGCAUCUCCCAAAGAUGACGGCAACAAUGUGUCUCAUCCCACAGGCUCUUUUUCACAAGGUGAUCUUGACCCUCCUCCCACUGAGGGCUGGGACUUAGGUCCUGUCCCCUUGAAUUCAGGUGUACCUUUGUGACUGCUUCCAUUCAAAGAAUGCAGCAGAAGUGAUGCUAUGUGACUCCUGAGGCUAGAAUAAAAUCAUAAGUCACCACACACUCCUGUCUUCUCUUGGGGCCCAAUCCCAGCCUGGGAGGCAGCCCAGAUUAGCCCACGUGGAGAGACUUCAUGGAGAGGCUCCUGUCAGUGUUCUGGACAAUAGCCCAGGGGUUGACAGCCAGCAUCAACCACCAGAUGUGAGUGAGGCUGCCACCAGAUGAUUCCAGAUGGCCACCUAGUCACGCCCAACCCUUUAGAUUUCUCAGCUGGAGCUCCAGACAUCAUGGAACAUCCCUACUGUUACCUUGUCUGAAUUCCUGGCCCAAAGAUCCUCCCUGGCAGUGUGUGAGCGAGUAAUGACUGUUUUGCAUGAACCAGUGAACACAAGUCACUGCAGCACUGUGAACCAGACCCCUCGCCCACUGUGCAAAUGGCUUCCGGGUGGCCCAUCCCUUGGCUGCUGCCCACAUACAUCUGGGCAGCGGCAGGACUGAAAUGCUUUGCGUCCUUAGGUGGCAGUGUGGUACAGCUGCGAAGGCGCUGGGCUGGGACCCAGACUCUACCUCCCAGUGGGUCUGCCCGGCCACUCUCCCACAGUGAGCCUCCCUGUCCCUGCCCUUGAGAGGGGCAGCUGGCAGUACUGGGCCCGGGUAACUCACCUUCGGUCUAAGAUGAGAGCUAUUCCCAGCCAGGUGGUCAGAGCAUGGGCUCCAGAGCCUGGUCCUUAAUCUUUUUUGUGUCUGGGCCCCAUUUCAGAGUUAUGUUUUUAAAUAUAGAAUCCAUAGGAUUGCAAAGGCAGUCAUAUAUAUAUGCUUUAUUGAGGUUUAAUUGACAAAUUGUAAAAGUUUACACGUGCAACGUGAUGGUAUAUGAUAUGCAUAUCCUUUGUGAAAGGAUUCUCACCAUUGAGUUAACACAUCCAUCAUCUCACAGAUUUACCUGUUUCUUUUGUGUGUGUGUGUGUGUGUGAGAACAUUCAAGUUGUCCUUCUUAGCAAAUUUCAAUGACAUACAAUACCAUGUUAUCACCUAUAGUUACCAUGUUAUACAUUAGAUCCUCAGAACUUACUCAUCCUCUAACUGAAAGUUGGUAUCCUCUCCCUAACCCUCUUCCUAUUUAUCCCACCCCCUAGACCCUGGAAACCACUUUUCUAUUCUUUGUUUCUAUGAAUUUGACUUUUUUUUUAAUUAAAAAUUUUUUUUUAAGAUUCCACAUAUAAGGUAUAAGUGGACCCUGCAGUAUUUGUCUUUGUCUGGCUUCUUUCCAGCAACCAAUUACAUUAAAACACAUUUAACAAAAUAUUAACAAGUCAAGUUGUGAUGUAGCAGUGUGUGUGUGCUUCUUUAUUAACACACCACAUAAGGUGUGUUGGUGGGUCGGCUGCAUUACUAUGAUUGUAAUUUCAAGGAAGUGAUUCGUGUAAAUGACGUUCUAAGAUACCUGCGACAAAUGUAAUGGGACAUGGAAAUAUCUUUGAUUCCACUUGGUGAUGGAGUCGUGGGGGCUGCUGACUCCACUGCAGUUUGUUGUCAACAUUCAUGAUGGAAGAAAAUGCAAUGUUUCAGUUAGAUGUUUGGAAAUUUAAGAGGUAAUAUUUUUUCCCAUCCAAGUUCACUGAUUCCAGGUUAUAAGCUCAUGGACCCCAGGUUAAGAGGUGUUGCUGGAGUUAGGUGGACUCAGGUGCAGGACAUGUGUGUGGAUUGCUUUUCCUCCUUGCACCUCAGUUUCCUCAUCUGGAAAAUGAGUGUAAGACUAGUGAGCUCGUAGGGCUGCCAGGAGGAGUAAAUGCAAUAAACCAAAUUCAGCACA
Camelus dromedarius (Arabian camel) is the source of this 4211-nucleotide long non-coding RNA. RefSeq lists it as uncharacterized. The record is from RefSeq and is a predicted model, not a curated record. The transcript is spliced from 2 exons. NCBI's taxonomy places the organism in Eukaryota, Metazoa, Chordata, Mammalia, Artiodactyla, Camelidae.